Octopus sinensis (East Asian common octopus) is the source of this 95-nucleotide long non-coding RNA. RefSeq lists it as uncharacterized. Lineage: Eukaryota; Metazoa; Mollusca; Cephalopoda; Octopoda; Octopodidae. The record is from RefSeq and is a predicted model, not a curated record. The transcript has 3 exons.
UCAGACAUAAUUUUGAGAUGCAGUUGAAUUUUGGUGUGCUUCUGUCAAACAAUUUAGCCAGAAGUUAGGAAUCCGGUCCAGUCCAUUUGUGAGAU